GACAGAGGUCCCGAGCGUUAGGCGGAAUCACUGGGCUUAAAGCGUGUGUAGGCGGAUUUGUAAGUACCUUGUGAAAUCCCACGGCUUAACCGUGGAACUGCUUGGUAUACUGGUUGUCUUGGGCCAUCUAGGGGCUACUGGAACAAACGGUGGAGCGGUGAAAUGCGUAGAUAUCGUGUGGAACGCCAAUGGUGAAAACAAGUAGCUGGGGAUGUGCCGACGCUGAGACACGAAAGCCAGGGGAGCGAACGGG
This 253-nucleotide ribosomal RNA is filed under the name uncultured bacterium. RNAcentral's name for it is "partial 16S ribosomal RNA". It matches the Rfam family "Bacterial small subunit ribosomal RNA", at positions 524 to 776 of the family's 1533-position model. The record is from RNAcentral.